AGAUCUUCAGUGUGAAGAAAAACUGAAUUUCAGGAUCUGGUUUAGCACACCCCAAAGAUGGGAGAUGCUUGGUUCAGGGCCCACAGCUCAGCCAGAUGGCCUUUUCAACAGAUGGUUGCAAAACAUGAUUUGGAAUUGGUCAAAACCAGCCAAAAGUCUGUGGAAGUGAUGUGGUAUCAAGGAGAAAAAGGAGCAAGCAAGACAGGAAAGGUGCAGAAUGAAAUGGAGAUAACAAGAUGGAGUGUACAAACGUACAAAAAAGAUGUGAAGACUGAAACAAAGGGAACAGGAAAUGUCACACAGCAGCUCCCCCUGCCAGAUCUACCAGAGAAGGGACAUCUUCCGUGGGAUCAGAGGGGGCACAGGCGUGUCAGAAGAAGGCAGGCUGCGCUUUGGGAAUGCGACACUCCAGCCGUUCUGGGAUUCUGCAGUGG
Molecule: long non-coding RNA, 434 nt
Organism: Columba livia (rock pigeon)
Lineage: Eukaryota; Metazoa; Chordata; Aves; Columbiformes; Columbidae
Exons: 4
Source: RefSeq, a predicted model, not a curated record